This 497-nucleotide ribosomal RNA is filed under the name uncultured bacterium. Its description in RNAcentral is "partial 16S ribosomal RNA". It matches the Rfam family "Bacterial small subunit ribosomal RNA", at positions 28 to 507 of the family's 1533-position model. The record is from RNAcentral.
GAUGAACGCUGGCGGCGUGCCUAAUACAUGCAAGUCGAGCGAACAGACGAGGAGCUUGCUCCUCUGACGUUAGCGGCGGACGGGUGAGUAACACGUGGAUAACCUACCUAUAAGACUGGGAUAACUUCGGGAAACCGGAGCUAAUACCGGAUAACAUGUUGAACCGCAUGGUUCAACAGUGAAAGACGGUUUUGCUGUCACUUAUAGAUGAAUCCGCGCCGCAUUAGCUAGUUGGUAAGGUAACGGCUUACCAAGGCAACGAUGCGUAGCCGACCUGAGAGGGUGAUCGGCCACACUGGAACUGAGACACGGUCCAGACUCCUACGGGAGGCAGCAGUAGGGAAUCUUCCGCAAUGGGCGAAAGCCUGACGGAGCAACGCCGCGUGAGUGAAGAAGGUCUUCGGAUCGUAAAACUCUGUUAUUAGGGAAGAACAAAUGUGUAAGUAACUAUGCACGUCUUGACGGUACCUAAUCAGAAAGCCACGGCUAACUACGUG